UGCACAGUUGGACACACGUGCUUUGUGGU
This 29-nucleotide non-coding RNA is filed under the name Mus musculus (house mouse). Lineage: Eukaryota; Metazoa; Chordata; Mammalia; Rodentia; Muridae. The record is from RNAcentral.